This 732-nucleotide unclassified non-coding RNA is filed under the name uncultured Prochlorococcus sp. Its description in RNAcentral is "partial 16S-23S ribosomal RNA intergenic spacer; may also contain 16S ribosomal RNA and 23S ribosomal RNA". The stretch from base 344 to 416 matches the Rfam family "tRNA". The record is from RNAcentral. Lineage: Bacteria; Bacillati; Cyanobacteriota; Cyanophyceae; Synechococcales; Prochlorococcaceae.
UUGUGGAGAAGGACGCCGAAGGUGGGGCUGAUGACUGGGGUGAAGUCGUAACAAGGUAGCCGUACCGGAAGGUGCGGCUGGAUCACCUCCUAACAGGGAGACAACUAAAUGAUUGUGAUGUCUAAGUGAUUUAAUCUUAGGCCGCAAUCCUGUCACCUCAAGGUCGAUCGGUACCUCAGAUUUUUGAAUUAAUUUUAUAAUUAAUCUUUAAUUUCAGUUCCUAAACUUGUCUAGGUCACACCCAACAAGGGUUUUCUCCUGGGCCAUUAGCUCAGGUGGUUAGAGCGCACCCCUGAUAAGGGUGAGGUCCCUGGUUCAAGUCCAGGAUGGCCCAUUCGUUGUUGGGGGUAUAGCUCAGUUGGUAGAGCGCCUGCUUUGCAAGCAGGAUGUCAGCGGUUCGAGUCCGCUUACCUCCACUGAAACUACCCUGGUAACUAAUUCCGGAGGAAAUUUGUAGUUGUGACCUAAUAAUUGUCUAUUUGAAAAGAACCUAGCUUCUUAUCAUCUUAUAUAGUUGAUAACAUGCUGGGCUCACAUGGAUUUAUAUCCAUGAGAAUUCAGUAGAACCUUGAAAACUGCAUAGAUUAGAAAGAAUAAAGCAUCUCAUGGAUGCAUAAUUCUGGUUCAAUAAUUUAGUCAAAAAUUAAAUUAUUGUUUUACAGAAUUCAUGUUUAAUUCUUGAGUAAUAGCCGAGCACAAUUGAUUUGUGUUUGUAUUAAGGUCAAGCUACAA